Molecule: unclassified non-coding RNA, 1508 nt
Filed under: Ooceraea biroi (clonal raider ant)
Lineage: Eukaryota; Metazoa; Arthropoda; Insecta; Hymenoptera; Formicidae
Description: uncharacterized LOC105279099, transcript variant X6
Source: RNAcentral
CCAUUAAUUGAUAGUAAAAUAAUACUUCAAGGUUGAUGUUCCCAAGAUCGAGAUUACAAUCAGAAUACAAUAUCAGAACGCAAUAAAAUAAAAUAUAUCACAACGUAAACAAUAGAAUGCGCCCCUGCGUGCAUUUCCUAAGAAGUCUUCUUGCAAUAUGAUAUUCUUUUCCUUUAUGAAAAGCACCUAUUAUAGUUUAUACAUUAUUAAAUCGAUUGCUUGACGGUACACGCUAUAGUAAUUUACACUGCACGUACCCCUUUCUAUAUGAUUGCAUGAUUGCAUGUAAUAGUCUGUAGCAAAUUGCUACAGAAUUGGAGAAAUUCACGCUCUAAAUUAUACUAGAAAAAAAAUUGAGACAGAAUAUUUAUUCAAUCAAUAAAGGAAGAGGGAAUAAGAUGCGCCUCUUUCUUGUUUACGAUCGCAUAUAUUCUAAACGUAACGUAACGACAUGAUUUGUCUCGAAGCACAAUACUUUAAUGUCAAUAGAAUUCUUUUACAAGGAACUGCAUUAUGGCCGUUUCAACAAUCGAAAUUUGCUCAGUUUCAAUUUAAUAUAAUGUUUAUUAUUUUAGUAACUGCUACUGUCUGUCAGAUAACAACAUUUGUAACUUCAGAAAUAACACUCAAAUUUGUUUUUAAAGUGUUACCAUGUAUACUUUUCUUCAUUAUGUUGGUGAUACAUUACAGUUCAUUUCGAAUUAACAUGAAAACCCUAAAGGAUUUGAUGAGGCAACUUCACCGUGCAUGUACUAAAUUAGAAGAUAAAAACGAAAUUGCUAUCAUAAAUAAAUAUGGGUGGAACGCACACCGUUAUACAAUCGUACUUAUUAUAUCCUUCCUUAGCGGAGCAUUCAUUUUCAUUGCCAGUCAAAUUGCAAUAGCUUUCUUUGACAUCAGUUCACCCACAAACGGAUCCUAUAAGCAUCGAAUAUUAUAUAUACACAUAGCGACCGAAUAUUUUAUUGAUGAACAAAAAUAUUUCUAUUUAAUUGUGUUUCACAUGUAUACAGCCCUCUUCAUCGGAACAUUUUCGGCAAUAGCAAUAGAAACAUUGAUGAUUGCGUAUUUGCAGCAUACAAGCGGAAUGUUCAGAAUUGCCUGUUACCGUAUCGAACACGCAAUGAAGAUUAAUAUACUAGAAAAUAUUAGUUUAAGCACUGCAUCUUCGAUAUCAAAGAAAAUAGUUUAUGCUAUAAAUAUUCAUCGGGAAGCCAUGAAAUUGUCCGAGCUCUUAAUAUCAAGUUUUGACAAAACAUACUUCUGCUUAACAGUACUCUCAGUGAUUACAUUAAGUCUCAAUCUUUUUCAGCCAAUUUCUUUGGGCAGGAUAUAAUGGAUCAGAAUAAUGAAAUAUAUAUUGCCGCGUAAGAGACGCAAUUUAUAAAAUACAAUUAUCUAUGAGUCUUCUUCCUAUACAAUAUUCAGUGGUACAAGUGUCCUCAACGAAUCCAAAAAUUGAUACUAUUGCUUUUGCAAAGGAGAGCUAAAGAAUUUCAUUUAACUUG